AGGAAAGGAAAGGAAAAGAAAAAAGCACUGAUGAUUCAGCCUCCAGGCUCUCCAGAAGACCUACAGAAAAGCAAAAUGCAAAGUUGUGCUUGCAAGUCCUACUGUGGCUUCUCAUGUUAUUAGAAAUAAUUUAUUUCCCAACACUGCUAAAGAGGAACUGGGACAACUCAGGGUAAUUAUUAGACCACUUUUGUACAUUACCCUGCCAGGAGGAAAAAGACCAACAAUCUGUAUUUUGCAGUAAUGGAUUACAACAGUACGCAAAGUUUAGAUUAUGUAUUCAUGUCACUACAUUUCAGCAGGACUUUUGUUUGAAUGAGACUAAGGGACUAGCCCAGUACAUCCUACUUGUAUGCAUCAGCUCACUGAUCUCUGAGGUGGAUUGAUUUGGAUUCUUGUUACCUCAGGGAAGACUUUAUAACUGUUUUGUUAAGAUUUUUUUUUUGCUUAUUUUAAUCAUAACAGUACCUAAAAAGACUGUCAGGAACUGCGACCCUACUGUGUGCCAUCAUAUGGGACCUGCUGUACAACUAUAAAACCGAAAGAAUAGCCCAUGUUCUUUAAGAACUUCUUUUCUGAGGAUGAGGAAGGAUAAAACAGGGAUACAGAGGGACUGGGUGUCCAAGGAGUCGAUGCAUCUGCUUGUCACCUUCACUUACUGGUCCCUGGUCUACAUUUCUGACUGCUGUCUGCAGGAUCCUGUAGGAGUCUUGUACACACCUCACUGACGUGCUCUGCCCUGCUUCUUUCAGGAUAUGCAUCCUAUCCUACAAUCAAGGAGUAAUCAGCAAGGCAGGUUUAGCAUGGACAUGUACUAAAAAGAAGAGCUCCUCAGUAUGCUGCUUUGGACAUGGAUGGAUUAAAGGUUCACUGCACACUGACAGGCCCAAAUCUGCAUGAGAAUGUCGCCUUGGCAGCUUGCUGCAGCCCGUCACUGCRGCACAGCCGUAGCAUCAGUUCGGCUCUGCAACCAGGGUAUUGUUUGGUGUUGGAAAAUCCCUCCCUCCCGCUGAGAAGUGGCUCCAUGGCAGCCCGUGAAUAUUACUCCACCAGCCAAGCUCAGUCUGCAAAUGACGUYGUGAGUCACUGCACUCCCCGCAAGUCUGCAGUCCCCAGAAUGUGCAUCUGUCUGCCCGUGGCAACUGCUUGGGGCUGGUGUGAUGCUUGGCAAGUUCAGCUGACUCCGAGUGGCCUCGUACCUGAAUUAUCUCCUGUCAAGCAUCAAGUCAAGUAUGAGUGAAACUGCAAAUGGGAGUCUAUUAAAGUUUCACGUUUCUCCACUGGAAUGCCAUAGAUUAGAGAAGUUUUCAGAAGACACUGAUUGCUGAAUAUGGAGCUCUGUAAUGCAUUAUCUUUUCCUCUGUGAUAAUAAAACUUUGUCUUUAGUCA
Molecule: long non-coding RNA, 1389 nt
Filed under: Dromaius novaehollandiae (emu)
Lineage: Eukaryota; Metazoa; Chordata; Aves; Casuariiformes; Dromaiidae
Description: lncRNA (ENSDNVG00000008449.1)
Source: RNAcentral